RNAcentral lists this ribosomal RNA (495 nucleotides) under uncultured bacterium. RNAcentral's name for it is "partial 16S ribosomal RNA". It matches the Rfam family "Bacterial small subunit ribosomal RNA", at positions 29 to 507 of the family's 1533-position model. The record is from RNAcentral.
AUGAACGCUGGCGGCGUGCCUAAUCCAUGCACGUCGAGCGAACAGACGAGGAGCUUGCUCCUCUGACGUUAGCGGCGGACGGGUGAGUAACACGUGGAUAACCUACCUAUAAGACUGGGAUAACUUCGGGAAACCGGAGCUAAUACCGGAUAAUAUAUUGAACCGCAUGGUUCAAUAGUGAAAGACGGUUUUGCUGUCACUUAUAGACGGAUCCGCGCCGCAUUAGCUAGUUGGUAAGGUAACGGCUUACCAAGGCAACGAUGCGUAGCCGACCUGAGAGGGUGAUCGGCCACACUGGAACUGAGACACGGUCCAGACUCCUACGGGAGGCAGCAGUAGGGAAUCUUCCGCAAUGGGCGAAAGCUUGACGGAGCAACGCCGCGUGAGUGAUGAAGGUCUUCGGAUCGUAAAACGCUGUUAUUAGGGAAGAACAAAUGUGUAGUAACUAUGCACGUCUUGACGGUACCUAAUCAGAAAGCCACGGCUAACUACGUG